AAAGUCGUAACAAGGUUUCCGUAGGUGAACCUGCGGAAGGAUCAUUAUCGAAUUUAAAGCUUGGUUGAGCUGUCGCUUCGGCGUACGUGCUCGCCUCGCCGUCCAUUCUCAACACCUGUGCACACUCAAGUUCUUUCUGUUCUUCCCAUAGCGCUUUCUAUUGCUUGUCUCUUCAUUGAGGCGGUAAGAAGGAGCGUGAAAGGUCGAAUAAGGAUGAGCUGCCUUUUAACACACCCUUCUUUUAAAAUGUCUAUGAACGUCAAAUGUAGGCUCGCCUUAAAAACGUGAUGCUGAAAUUAAAAAUAAUACAACUUUUAACAACGGAUCUCUUGGCUCUC
RNAcentral lists this unclassified non-coding RNA (338 nucleotides) under Basidiomycota sp. Its description in RNAcentral is "partial contains small subunit ribosomal RNA, internal transcribed spacer 1, and 5.8S ribosomal RNA". The stretch from base 1 to 47 matches the Rfam family "Eukaryotic small subunit ribosomal RNA", at positions 1785 to 1831 of the family's 1831-position model. Lineage: Eukaryota; Fungi; Basidiomycota. The record is from RNAcentral.